GACGAACGCUGGCGGCGUGCUUAACACAUGCAAGUCGAACGGAAAGGCCCCUUUGGGGGUACUCGAGUGGCGAACGGGUGAGUAACACGUGAGUAACCUGCCCUUGACUUCGGGAUAACUUCAGGAAACUGGGGCUAAUACCGGAUAGGAAUCCUUGCUGCAUGGUGGGGGUUGGAAAGCUUCGGCGGUUUUGGAUGGACUCGCGGCUUAUCAGCUUGUUGGUGGGGUAGUGGCCUACCAAGGCUUUGACGGGUAGCCGGCCUGUGAGGGCGACCGGCCACAUUGGCACCGAGGGGCGGCCCCGACUCCUACUGUAGGAAGCAGUGGGGAAUCUUGCACAAUGGGCGGAGGCCUGAUGCAGCAACGCCUCGUGCUGGAUGACGGCCUUCGGGUUGUAGACCGCUUUCAGCAGGGGCGAAGCUUGUGGUGACGGUACCUGCAGAAGAAGCACCGGCUAACUACGUG
Molecule: ribosomal RNA, 465 nt
Filed under: uncultured bacterium
Lineage: Bacteria
Description: partial 16S ribosomal RNA
Rfam family: Bacterial small subunit ribosomal RNA
Source: RNAcentral